UACGUAGGACCCGAGCGUUAUCCGGAAUUACUGGGCGUAAAGCGUGCGCAGGCGGUUUUGUAAGACCGAUGUGAAAUCCCCGGGCUCAACCUGGGAACUGCAUUGGUGACUGCAAGGCUAGAGUGUGUCAGAGGGAGGUGGAAUUCCACGUGUAGCAGUGAAAUGCGUAGAGAUGUGGAGGAACACCGAUGGCGAAGGCAGCCUCCUGGGAUAACACUGACGCUCAUGCACGAAAGCGUGGGGAGCAAACAGG
Molecule: ribosomal RNA, 253 nt
Filed under: uncultured bacterium
Lineage: Bacteria
Description: partial 16S ribosomal RNA
Rfam family: Bacterial small subunit ribosomal RNA
Source: RNAcentral